Molecule: long non-coding RNA, 910 nt
Organism: Cimex lectularius (bed bug)
Lineage: Eukaryota; Metazoa; Arthropoda; Insecta; Hemiptera; Cimicidae
Exons: 5
Source: RefSeq, a predicted model, not a curated record
AUCUUUUAUUAAAUGGUGUUUUGACACCUCAGACAGCUGUAAAAAAUGUAUAUAUACUUUCUUUACGUAUUAUAUACAUUAUGUAAUGAAUUCGUUUUACAUUAUUAUAUUAUCAUGGGAGUCAUUGUUGCUAUCACGGCUUUUCUCAAGGCUAAUAUUGAUUAGGAGAUCCCGGAGCAUGACAGGAUUGCAGAAAUGGGCAAUAAUGGCUAUGGAUUAGGCUAAUAGGUUGGUAUUUGUUUAUCGUGGUAUAUGUUUUGGAUUAGGUUUUUGUUGAAGGGGUGUUGACAAUAAUUUUGAGGACUUUGGAUUGGAAAUACUGUAUUCUUUGGAUGUUGGUUAGUUUAGCGGUGCCUCACUGUCUAGUUUAGUGUCUGGAUCUAACGUUUAAGAAGAAGGAGGUCCAUUGCACGUCUACUUUGCCUUGAAUUUGUGAUUUUUACAUGAGAGCUUAAUUGUAAUUGGAAAGUUAUUAAGGCUGAGUGUCUUCUCUACCUCUUUGGGGAUGGCAGAAAAGCCGAAGAAUUGUCUGUAUGAAAGUGUCCCUUGAGGCACUUUUAAACCGGCUGGCCAGGGGAUGUGACAAAUCUAUGCAUGUAUCUUUUUGCAAAACAUCUUGAAACCAUCUUCAUCCAAGAGCCAACACCAGCCACACACAAAGCAUAAAAAAGGUGCAUGAGAAUAAUAAAAAUACUGUUACUAAACCUACUGUCUCUACACAACUUCAUCCAGGGAGAGAGAUUGGUUGCAUAUAAGCUGAUGCAAGGAUAGGAUUCUAGAAGGCAUGAUUCACAGGUAUAACUUCGCAAAGAAGAACCAUCUUAAAAUACAAAACUUUGGACAUCAUCGAAGAGAAUAAAAGAAUACGACUUUCUCGGAACGAAAGAUGCCGAAACAAUUUUCCCAUAUU